This 451-nucleotide ribosomal RNA is filed under the name uncultured bacterium. RNAcentral describes it as "partial 16S ribosomal RNA". It matches the Rfam family "Bacterial small subunit ribosomal RNA", at positions 28 to 507 of the family's 1533-position model. The record is from RNAcentral.
AGCGAACGCUGGCGGCAUGCCUAACACAUGCAAGUCGCACGGGGGGGCUUCGGCCUCCCAGUGGCGGACGGGUGAGGAACGCGUAGGGACCUGUCGAGGGGUGGGGGAUAACCGCGGGAAACUGCGGCUAAUACCGCAUGACGCCGCGGCGUGACAGCCGGGGCCAAAGGCGAAAGCCGCCCGCCGAGGGGCCUGCGUCCGAUUAGCUGGUUGGCGGGGUAGCGGCCCACCAAGGCGUCGAUCGGUAGCUGGUCUGAGAGGGUGAUCCGCCACACCGGGACUGAGACACGGCCCGGACUCCUACGGGAGGCAGCAGUGGGGAAUAUUGGACAAUGGGCGCAAGCCUGAUCCAGCAAUGCCGCGUGGGUGAAGAAGGUCUUCGGAUUGUAAAGCCCUUUCGGCGGGGACGAUGGUGACGGUACCCGCAGAAGAAGCCCCGGCUAACUUCGUG